CACUGACCUAUUGGGACAGCCAUCUGUUUUAGAUUGCUGGAAGAAAUUCUGAUUUCUGCAACAAAGGGGCUGAGGAAUUUGAACCUUGCACCCACACCCCAGGAAUUGUUUGAUGAGAUGGUGGGAAAGAGCAGAAAGAGGCUGCGUCAGCGGGCAUGAGAAUCCAACUAGCCACACACAAGGUUCUUGAAAUCAUAAGGCCAGGCACUAGAGAAAUGGAAGAAGCGUUUUUCCAGCUUUACCAAGAAUUCACACAACUGCAGGAUUUAUGUGCAAAGCAGGCUCAGCUGCUACAGAAGUUAAUUGUGAAGAAGGAACCAAUGACUGACAUGCCAAUUUCGAUGCCAAUCCAGUGCACAGACGACGGGGGAUUAGCGCAAUCAGAGCGAAUCAUCUUCAAACAGCAAUUACCAAAGGUUCCCAGCUCUAUCCUUUCCAACCCAACAGUUCCUACAUGGCCCAACUCCGCAGUUCUUCGGGACCAGCCACAAGAUGCACACAUGGUUUCUAGUUUUGAUAUUAAGUACCCCCCGAGUGCAGCAAACGCCAGCUUGUUAAGCAGUGCCAAGGGGAAGGCAGAUUUCGCAAUAGCACUUUCCAGCCAGAACCACCACAAACCACACAUGGGCAAGAAGGCGGCUUGUGACACGCUGUUGAAAAAUUAUAUGACGUUUCCUGCCUUGAAAGCGGACAAAGAGAAAUCCACAGCCCCUCCCAUACUUCCAGAGCUUGCUGCCCUAAAUCCGGAGGACGUAGGCUCCUUUCCCAGUUUCUUGGAUCUUUAUGAAGCACCACAAGAUUUACAGACAGGAAGUACUUCCCUUCAAGCAGCAGAAAUUAACGUUCCUAUAGAAAUACGAGGACCCACACAGCCUCUUCCAAAGGACUUCAUCCAAACCCUUUUGAAAAAUAGAUGAUUUGGGCCCUCUAGGACUUCCUGGACUCCAGGAUGGGUGGUAGAAGACAGUCCACUUGAUCACAGCGGGGAUUUUGAAGUCCAAGGGUACUCUGCAUACACAGACCUGUGACUUUUGCCAAGUCAUUUCCCCAGCGCGGGAAGCAGCGCAAGGCGACUAUUAAAAGCAACUCAUAGCUCAUACUGAAUAGCGUUGGUAUCAUCAUGUACUUGUAACCCAGCUUACAGAGGAUGGCUUUCCACCCCCCUUUAGUGGCUGGACAACAUGAGGGUUUAUGAGCCUCCUGUAGAGCUGUUGGAUUAAGGGAAUUCUUGACGCAGUGGCUGAACUGAAGCAUUGUGAAAAAAAAAAUUUGGUUUGGGUUGACCUGAAAUGAAAAUGGUUCAAUUUUUCCAGCAAAGCUCAAAAAGUAAAAAAAGAAUUUGGUUUGAAUUGAACGAAACAUUUAAUUUCAUUUCUGAGUUUUUAUCUUUUUCAUCUUUUUCAAAUAGCAAUUUGAGAAAAGGAAGUGAAAUUCUCAGAUGAAAUGUUUCAUUUUGGAAAUGACAAAAAAAAUGAACCAUUUCAACAUUUCUGAUUUUUUUGAUAUUUUUUGAUAUUUGACCCAAUUUGAUAUUCACUAAUAUUGACUCAAAUUUGUGAAUUGUUUCCAUCAGCCCAAAUCUGCAUUUUUUGGGGCGGCAGCAGAAAUGAAUCACGUGAAAAAUAGAUUGUCGAGCUCUGUUUGCUUUGAGCUGGAUCUUUUAGCUCAGGCAGUUGUGGCUCAGAUGUUUGUGCUGACAAAGAGAAAAUAAUAUCUGCUUCUCCUCCCAGAAAUGUAACCUCUCCAAUAAAGGAAUGUCCAAGCUUGUUAAUUCUCCUAAA
Molecule: long non-coding RNA, 1781 nt
Organism: Gopherus agassizii (Agassiz's desert tortoise)
Lineage: Eukaryota; Metazoa; Chordata; Testudines; Testudinidae
Source: Ensembl